Osmerus eperlanus (European smelt) is the source of this 1306-nucleotide long non-coding RNA. RefSeq lists it as uncharacterized. The transcript has 3 exons. The record is from RefSeq and is a predicted model, not a curated record. Lineage: Eukaryota; Metazoa; Chordata; Actinopteri; Osmeriformes; Osmeridae.
GUGACGUCUUGUUUGUUGACACUUUCAUUAGCUAGCCACCUGUGCAACGUCAUUGCAGUAGGGGAACAUCGGUCCUCGAACUGUCAGACAUUAUUUUCUGCCUGGAAACACUAUAAACUAAUCGGAAGAGCGAGAGAGAAAGAGUUGGAUCUCGUGGGGUCGAUUGCGAGGGUAUGGGGGGAGGCCAGAGUCAUGAGAGGAGUCUGCCAGAGAAGGGGGAGAGGGUGGGGUCUUUAUCCACAUCCCAGGAUUCCCAGAGACAACCCGCCUCAGAGAGCACCACUGUAGAGGAGCGUUACCCAGAAGCCCCAGCCCAGCUGCCCCAGUGCCAGAUGGGUAGCAGAAAGGUGGAUGACAUGUGUUUCAUGAUCUCCUGCACCAACUGGUACUAAGACACUAUGGACCAGCUGUUGCUUUUCUGCGCUGUCUGAAAUGAACCUCAAUUUGACCUGUGCUGCCUCUCCUGUCAUUGUUUACUGCUAUAUAGUUGAAUGCAGUUUCGAGGUUUUAGAGCACUUUAAAUCUUGUACUUUAAUUGCUGAUGCUUGAAGCACCCCCCCCCCACACCCAGGACCUUUGUCAUACAAUUACUGUAAAGACAUUUUGUAAAAUUUGCCUUAAAGAUUCUGUAAAGUGGAAUUGAAAAUGAGUUUUAAGUUCAUCACACUACAGAAAAAUGUGUUGUUAACUACCCAUCCAAAUUCAAAUGAAAAAAAAACACAGACAAGUAUGUUAAAUUAGGCUUUGAAAUCGUGAGAAAAUCAGCAGUCUUCUCUGCUUGACACUGGGGGGGGCGUGUCGCCUGAAGGAGUUGAAGCUCCGCCCCCUCCAAUUUAUUGAAUUUAGCAAGACAGCAACACUAGCUAAAUCAAUUGCAGAUAUCAGAACAGACCUACCUGCAGUCUCUGAGUGUUUUAUGUGUUAAUUACUCGAUUAGUCUUUGCAUCGUACCAGCUGAGUAACAGAAUGCAACCGUCUGUGAUCUGACGUAGAUAGGUCGCUGUGACGUAAAGCGGUCGGGUUUUGGCUCCGCCUAUACAAAACCUGAGCUGAAAACGGUAGAGAAAUUGUUCAACGGUCUAACUCCACAUUGCGACAGAGUUUUCGUGCUCUGCACAUGCUUUCAGGAACUCAUUUCACACAUAUAUAAUGUACUGAGAAGCAAAUCAUGGAAUUUGCUUUACAGAAUCUUUAAUUGUAUAAUUAAAGCAUAAUUGUGAUUUAAUGCUGUGCGUCACCCCACCUGCAUGAAGAAGUAAAUAUACUGUAAAUAUACCUAUAAUAAAAUAAUCAGUCAUGCAGAUAA